This 576-nucleotide ribosomal RNA is filed under the name Russula sp. RNAcentral describes it as "partial small subunit ribosomal RNA". It matches the Rfam family "Bacterial small subunit ribosomal RNA", at positions 344 to 962 of the family's 1533-position model. Lineage: Eukaryota; Fungi; Basidiomycota; Agaricomycetes; Russulales; Russulaceae. The record is from RNAcentral.
UCAGGCAGUCCCAAAAUAUUAGUCAAUGCUCGAAAGAGUGAACUAGCUAACUGAAAUCAAUUAAAAAAUUGAUAACAUAAGGGAAAAUAAUGAUAUUACCUUAUUAUUAGUGUCGUCCAAAACUGGUGCCAGAAGACUCGGUAAGGCCAGAGACAUAAACGUUAAUCGUCUUAAUCAGGCGUAAAGGGUUUGUAGGCGGCUUUUAAUUAAUUUAUAAUAAAAUUAAAAAAUAAAUAAAUUAAGAAUAAAAGCUAGAAUCAAAUAGAGGAUAUAUUAAAUAAUGCUUAGAGUAGGUCUGAUAUCCUUAAAUACUAAGUAGAAUAUUAAAGGCGAAAGCUUUUUUCCAUUAAUGAUUGACGCUCAGAAACGAAGGUGAGGAUAGGAAAUAGGAUUAGAUACCCAAAAUACCCCUCUCUGUCAACGAUGAAUGGUAAUUAUUAGUAAUUAAUUUAUUAAUGAUAAUGUUAACACGAUAACCAUUCCGCCUUGUGAGUACAACUGCAAAGUUGAAAACAAAAAAAUUAGUCGGUUUCGGAGCAAACGAAGUGAAGCAUGUUAUUUAAUUCAAUAAUCCGC